This is an unclassified non-coding RNA of Pongo abelii (Sumatran orangutan), 148 nucleotides long. It matches the Rfam family "Metazoan signal recognition particle RNA". From Rfam's summary of the family: The signal recognition particle (SRP) is a universally conserved ribonucleoprotein. It is involved in the co-translational targeting of proteins to membranes. The eukaryotic SRP consists of a 300-nucleotide 7S RNA and six proteins: SRPs 72, 68, 54, 19, 14, and 9. Lineage: Eukaryota; Metazoa; Chordata; Mammalia; Primates; Hominidae. The record is from Ensembl.
GCCAGGCAUGGUGGUGUGUGCCUGUAGUCCCAGCUACUUGGGAGGCUGAGGCAGGAGGAUUGCUUGAGCCCAGGAGGUCAAGGCUGCAGUGAGCUAUGAUCUCAUCAUUGCACUCCAGCCUGGGCAACACAACAAGACACUGCCUCAA